AUUGAACGCUGGCGGCAUGCCUUACACAUGCAAGUCGAACGGCAGCACGGGGGGUAACCCCUGGUGGCGAGUGGCGAACGGGUGAGUAAUAUAUCGGAACGUGUCCUGUAGCGGGGGAUAACCUAUCGAAAGAUGGACUAAUACCGCAUACGACCUACGGGUGAAAGCGGAGGACCGCAAGGCUUCGCACUAUAGGAGCGGCCGAUAUCGGAUUAGCUAGUUGGCGGGGUAACGGCCCACCAAGGCGACGAUCCGUAGCUGGUCUGAGAGGACGAUCAGCCACACUGGAACUGAGACACGGUCCAGACUCCUACGGGAGGCAGCAGUGGGGAAUUUUGGACAAUGGGCGCAAGCCUGAUCCAGCCAUGCCGCGUGAGUGAAGAAGGCCUUCGGGUUGUAAAGCUCUUUCGGCGGGGACGAAACGGUUCGCGCUAAUACCACGGACUACUGACGGUACCCGCAGAAGAAGCACCGGCUAACUACGUG
Molecule: ribosomal RNA, 486 nt
Filed under: uncultured bacterium
Lineage: Bacteria
Description: partial 16S ribosomal RNA
Rfam family: Bacterial small subunit ribosomal RNA
Source: RNAcentral